UGGCUCAGGAUGAACGCUAGCGGCAGGCUUAACACGAUGCAAGGUCGAGGGGCAUCGGGAGUAGCAAUACUGCCGGCGACCGGCGCAAGGGUGCGUAACGCGUGAGCAACAUGCCCGUAUCAGGGGGGAUAAUCCAUGGAAACGUGGUCUAAUACCCCAUAGUAAUUAUGUAAGGCAUCUUAUAUAAUUUAAAGCUUUGGUGGAUACGGAUUGGCUCGCGUGACAUUAGCUGGAUGGUAAGGUAACGGCUUACCAUGGCUACGAUGUCUAGGGGUUCUGAGAGGAAGGUCCCCCCACACUGGAACUGAGACACGGUCCAGACUCCUACGGGAGGCAGCAGUGAGGAAUAUUGGACAAUGGAUGGAAAUCUGAUCCAGCCAUGCCGCGUGCAGGAAGAACCGGCCCUAUGGGUUGUAAACUGCUUUUGUAUGGGAGCAAUAAGGGCUACGUGUAGUCCGAUGAGAGUACCAUACGAAUAAGCACCGGCUAACUCCGUGCCAGCAGCAGC
Molecule: ribosomal RNA, 508 nt
Filed under: uncultured bacterium
Lineage: Bacteria
Description: bacterial SSU rRNA
Rfam family: Bacterial small subunit ribosomal RNA
Source: RNAcentral